CAAAAUCCAACAAAACCACAUAUGCAUGAAACAAGCAAGUUGUCAAUUUCAUUUCCAGUUCAACAAUUUCUUAGCCAAGAACAUGAAAACACCUUUAAAUUUAAUAUAAUAGAUUAAAAAAUGGCAUCAUGACAUCAUUACAUACAAGAAUAGAAACAAAUGCAUGCACCAACAUCCACUUGCAAUAAUAUAUAAACAUAGAGCACAGUCUCAAAAGACAAAAACUAGUCCAACAAGUUGAAAAAAGAAUAUUAACUUGCCAAAUCAAAAAAAAAAAACUAUUUUAUUCAUCCGGAGUCAUAAAUCCACUAUGCACGUCAACCCAUAAUCACCAAAAUACAAAAAGCAGAUCAAGUUAAACCAUUAAAAUAAACAUGAAAUUCAAAGUAAAAACCAGAAAAAGAAAUUGCAGAGCAUAAUUACCAGAAGAAAGAAUAAAUAUAGACAUCCUCUCUUGGAGAGCAAAACCAAUCCAAUACUGAGAUCUUAUGGUUCCCCCACAUGCAGAUCCCAAGAAUAGGCAUCAUCUUCUUCUUAUCCGAAACUCCAUUUCCCCUCACAUGCAUUGGUAUCAUCAACAAACCCAAAUUAACCAAAAACCCAAUGCACCCACAACCUGAUUAAAUAAACCGCCACCACAUUGCAACCUGUUUUCAGUUUUUUCCGAUCUCCGGCACCAACCCCCACCCCGACCACCACAAAACUAGAGGUGAUUAAGGGGCAAAUCCGGGUUUUCACUUCAUCACUUCCCUUUUUUCAACAACAAAAAAAAAACUCUCAGUAUUCUUACUAAUGAAACUUCUAAUAUUCUGAAAAAAUUAAAAUACGCAAGUGUCUUGUACUAGUAUUAGUAGAGAAAAA
This 861-nucleotide long non-coding RNA is filed under the name Solanum lycopersicum (tomato). Its description in RNAcentral is "long non-coding RNA (SLYC_LNC000321)". The record is from RNAcentral. Lineage: Eukaryota; Viridiplantae; Streptophyta; Magnoliopsida; Solanales; Solanaceae.